This 417-nucleotide ribosomal RNA is filed under the name uncultured bacterium. RNAcentral's name for it is "bacterial SSU rRNA". It matches the Rfam family "Bacterial small subunit ribosomal RNA", at positions 975 to 1375 of the family's 1533-position model. The record is from RNAcentral.
CUGGGUUUGACAUGCACUGGAAAGCCAUAGAGAUAUGGUCCCUUUUAGUCGGUGUACAGGUGGUGCAUGGCUGUCGUCAGCUCGUGUCGUGAGAUGUUGGGUUAAGUCCCGCAACGAGCGCAACCCUCGUCCCAUGUUGCCAGCAGCACUCAUUCAGUUCGGCUGGGGUGGCUGGGGACUCAUGGGAGACUGCCGGGGUCAACUCGGAGGAAGGUGGGGAUGACGUCAAGUCAUCAUGCCCCUUAUGUCCAGGGCUUCACGCAUGCUACAAUGGCCGGUACAAAGGGCUGCGAUCCCGUGAGGGGGAGCGAAUCCCAAAAAGCCGGUCUCAGUUCGGAUUGGGGUCUGCAACUCGACCCCAUGAAGUCGGAGUCGCUAGUAACCGCAGAUCAGCAACGCUGCGGUGAAUACGUUCCC